This 251-nucleotide ribosomal RNA is filed under the name uncultured bacterium. RNAcentral's name for it is "partial 16S ribosomal RNA". It matches the Rfam family "Bacterial small subunit ribosomal RNA", at positions 525 to 775 of the family's 1533-position model. The record is from RNAcentral.
ACGUAGGGGGCAAGCGUUAUCCGGAUUUACUGGGUGUAAAGGGAGCGUAGGCGGUCAGACAAGUCAGAAGUGAAAGCCCGGGGCUCAACUCCGGGACUGCUUUUGAAACUGCCUGACUAGAUUGCAGGAGAGGUAAGUGGAAUUCCUAGUGUAGCGGUGAAAUGCGUAGAUAUUAGGAGGAACACCAGUGGCGAAGGCGGCUUACUGGACUGUAAAUGACGCUGAGGCUCGAAAGCGUGGGGAGCAAACAG